Molecule: long non-coding RNA, 411 nt
Filed under: Taeniopygia guttata (zebra finch)
Lineage: Eukaryota; Metazoa; Chordata; Aves; Passeriformes; Estrildidae
Description: lncRNA (ENSTGUG00000029301.1)
Source: RNAcentral
GAUUCCAGCACCUGGACAAGUGGUCUAAGAAACCAUCAAAGCCUUCUUUGGACUGGCAGCCUUGAUCGCUUGGUCUUCAUAUCAGAUGAUAAGUGGGAACUUCAAGCAUCUGCCCUGAGUUGAAGGUCUUUGGGCACAAGAUUAAAGUCAGAAAAUUUCUUCUGCUUCUGAAUGUGAAGAAAAUUGAAGGCCUACUGCCUUGAACAAAAGGAUUGUCCAUGUAUCUUUUGCCUUUGUAAGCAUGCAGUGCAACAGACCUCCUGCUAUAGUUUCAACAGCAACAACAUGGAACAAGUUGAGUCUUUCAAAUGAAUGACUUACAUUUUAUCAGUCAGGAAAGAUUAUUGCUGCCUGCAUAGAUACUUGUGACUGGCCUUCCCUCCCAUCCCAAAGUGUGAGUAAAUAGCUAAA